RNAcentral lists this ribosomal RNA (484 nucleotides) under uncultured bacterium. Its description in RNAcentral is "bacterial SSU rRNA". It matches the Rfam family "Bacterial small subunit ribosomal RNA", at positions 44 to 518 of the family's 1533-position model. The record is from RNAcentral.
AGGCCUAACACAUGCAAGUCGAGGGGCGAGCACAAGGAGCGAAUCUGAGGUGGCGACCGGCGCACGGGUGAGUAACACGUAUGCAACCUGCCUGUAAGCGGGGAAUAACCCGUUGAAAGACGGACUAAUACCGCAUAAUACUAAAUUACUGCAUGGUAAUUUAUUUAAACAUUUAUGGCUUACAGAUGGGCAUGCGCAUGAUUAGCUAGUUGGAGAGGUAACGGCUCCCCAAGGCAACGAUCAUUAGGGGUUCUGAGAGGAAGGUCCCCCCACACUGGUACUGAGACACGGACCAGACUCCUACGGGAGGCAGCAGUGAGGAAUAUUGGUCAAUGGACGAGGGUCUGAACCAGCCAAGUCGCGUGCAGGAAGAAUGUUCCCUAUGGAUUGUAAACUGCUUUUGCAGGGGAAUAAAGUGCAUCACGUGUGAUGUUUUGUAUGUACUCUGCGAAUAAGGAUCGGCUAACUCCGUGCCAGCCGCCGC